AACUCUCAACAAUGCCGUACGAAUCUUGGCUCUCUAGUCAAUGAAGAGCGCAGCACAUUGCGUUGCUUAUUGUGAGCUGCAAGUGGGGUAUCGAACAUUUCAGCGCAGAAUGCGCUGGAGGUUCUGGCCAAGAGCAUGUCUGCCUCAGCGUCA
RNAcentral lists this ribosomal RNA (153 nucleotides) under Volvox carteri f. nagariensis. Its description in RNAcentral is "5.8S ribosomal RNA". It matches the Rfam family "5.8S ribosomal RNA". Rfam says of the family: 5.8S ribosomal RNA (5.8S rRNA) is a component of the large subunit of the eukaryotic ribosome. The record is from Rfam by way of RNAcentral. Lineage: Eukaryota; Viridiplantae; Chlorophyta; Chlorophyceae; Chlamydomonadales; Volvocaceae.